AUUGAACGCUGGCGGCAGGCCUAACACAUGCAAGUCGAGCGAGCGGCGGACGGGUGAGUAAUGUAUGGGGACUGCCCGAAAGAGGGGGAUAACUACUGGAAACGGUGGAGAAUACCGCAUGCUAGCGGAUAACCCUUAUGGGAUUAGCUAGUAGGUGGGGUAAAGGCUCACCUAGGCGACGAUCCCUAGCUGGUCUGAGAGGAUGAUCAGCCACACUGGGACGGAUACACGGCCCAGACUCCUCCGGAGGCAGCAGUGGGGAUUCUUCCACAAUGGGCGCAAGCCUGAUGCAGCCAUGCCGCGUGUAUGAAGAAGGCCUUAGGGUUGUAAAGUACUUUCAGCGGAGAGGCGUUACCCGCCCAGGAAGCACCGGCUAACUCCGUGCCAGCAGCCGCGGUAAUUC
RNAcentral lists this ribosomal RNA (403 nucleotides) under uncultured bacterium. RNAcentral's name for it is "partial 16S ribosomal RNA". It matches the Rfam family "Bacterial small subunit ribosomal RNA", at positions 30 to 526 of the family's 1533-position model. The record is from RNAcentral.